Molecule: non-coding RNA, 3233 nt
Organism: Punica granatum (pomegranate)
Lineage: Eukaryota; Viridiplantae; Streptophyta; Magnoliopsida; Myrtales; Lythraceae
Source: RefSeq, a predicted model, not a curated record
CAUUCUCAUCAGAAAAUGCUCUUGCCUCCCCUCUCUCAUCUUUUUCAAACCGCUCUCAUUCUUGAUCUGCUGCAGAAGACAGACUCAGAAUGAGAUUCUGUAAUCCUGCAAACAUCUGCAAGUGCUGAAGGGAUCGAUUUCGUCAGGGCAAGACGUAGUCAAUCAUUGACUUCUUUGUAUCCUGGAGGUUUAUUCGCGGAGAUCCCGAUUGCACACUAUUGGUGGGGGCGAAUAAAGUGUUAAAGGAAAGCGAUUACAUGCCUAGAAGCCAUUUCUCCUGUCUGUUCGUUUUUGCUAGCCCCGACAUCCUGCUCCAACAUAUUUUGCUUGCUUGACCGAAACGUCAUUUCAAGAACCAAAUACGCCUUUUAUACGAAGUGUGGAAGAAUGGAAAAGUUUGUCGAUGAAGCUGAAAGAAGAUGUUCGAUUAUACAGAGGCAGUUGAGGAUUAACUAUGAUGCUCUUGAGGACGACAGAGAAGGACCUGUUCCUGGACAUCGCAUGCUUCUUUGUUGGGAUCGAUAGAGAGAGAAAAUAUGCAGUGAAGGUGUUAGAUGGGUGCGGUCUAUUUGCGAAAAUCGGUAUCAGCGUCCUUUAGAACGAGGUGUCUUCUGGAAAUCGAUACGAUAGGAAGAAUAAAUAAGCUAAAGAUGCACGAUUUGAUUCGGGACAUGGGGAGAGAAAUUGUUUGGGUGGAGUGUCCCCGACAUCCUGAAAGUGUAGCAGGUUGUGGUGUCAUGAGGAUGCAUGUACUCUGCACUUUACAGAAUCACCACCUUGGAACAGAGGAAGUUGAAGGAAUCGUGCUAAAUUUCGCCAGAGUUGAGAACAGUAAAAGUGGAUGCAGAAGCAUUUGCAAGAAUGAAGAGGUUAAGGCUCCUGCAGCUCACUCGAUAACGUGCAUGAUUUCAUGAUCUGCCCAAGGACCUGAGAUGGGUCUAGUGGCAUCGAUUUCCUUUUGAGCUUUCUCACCAAGGACUUUAGCAUGGCAAGAUUGGUCGUGAUUUACUUACGGCACAGCAACCUCAGGGAACCGUGGAAGGACGAUAAGCUCCUAGGACACUUGGAAGGUUCUCAAUCUCAGUUAUUCACCUCUCCUGACCAAGACACCAGACUUCUCAAAACUGCCUAAUCUUGAGGGAUUGAUCCUAAGAGACUGCAUAGAGUUGGCAGAGGUGCACCCCUCGAUCAGGUAUCUCGAGAGACUCGUCUCGCUUAAUCUUAGAAACUGCAAGAAGCUCAAGAAAAUUCCGAGUAGCAUCUGCAGAGUGAAAUCCCUGGAAUAUAUGGACAUCUCAGGCUGCCCAACGAUCAACCAAUUACCUGAGGAUUUUUGGGACAUAGAAUCCUUGAGAGAGUUUCUUGCUGAAGGAACCAAUAUAACACGAGUCCCAUUCUCCAUCACACGUCUGAAGAACCUGAGGAAUGCAUCGUUUAAUGUCAGCAAGAUGCCGAAGACUAGCUCCAUUUCUUCCCUCGUCUGGUCACUGGUCUGGCCAAGGGGGCCACCAGAAUUAAGAAUGUUGAAAUCGGCUAAGUCGUUGAGGACGCUGAGGUUGGCUUGCUGCACCCUAUCCAAUGCAUCAAUCUUGAUGGACCGUCAAGUUUAGACCUUAGGGGAAAUCAGUUUUCUGGCUUGCCCGACACAAUCAAGGGUCUCCCUAAGCUCGAGAAACUUGUAUUGGAUGAUUGCGCAAAGCUCAAGUCCCUCCCAAGCAUGCCCCCGAGCUUAUUUGUCCUGCCGGCAGUUAAUUGCGUAUCAUUGGCAAGGCACUGCCUUGACCUCGACCCUUUAUUGUUCUCUAACUUUCAGAGAGACAUUAAGCGUGCCUAUGAACUUGCUGGAGAACCUGAACCUGCUGGAGCAAUAGUACACUUGGAAUGGUGCGGGAACCUCAUGGAGUGCAACGACCUAGCCCGAGAUGCACUGGAAAAUUUCAUACUAGGGGUACUUUCUUUUAUCCUUGCCCUUUUUUGCGCAUUUUUCUAUCAAAUUUUAACUCAUGCUCAUGGACUUGAUGUUUAACUCCACAUUCCAAUCCCCAUGUGAAUUCUGCCACGAAGAUGUUCACAAUCUACUAUACCUACUAUACUUAUCGAGCUCUAAAAAGUCCGUUAAAUUGGACCAUGUGGUUAAGGAACUCGUAAUUAGAUUUCCUUUGCCGAUAAUAUGUUGAUCAAUUUAUACAAAGUUCAAAACAGAGGCUAAGGUUCUCAUUCUUUUUUUCUUCGUUUUUCUCUCGGUAAUCAUUGAUGGGCACCAAAUUAAACUUGUCCUUGCAUGAUGAAAAUAACAAUGAACUGGGGAUAAAUUAUCCGGUGAUCCCACGUCCCGGAAUGGUUCGAUUAUCAGGGCAGCGGGCAGGCUUAGAGGGGUCACAAUUUGUGUCAUCUACUCAUCCGACCCGAACAUGCUAGUGCCAUCGCCUGCACCAGCUUACAGAGUGAUUGUCAGAAACAGAGGCACGGCACUGGAGCUUACCCAUCAAACAGGGAAAGGGGAGAUGACCAGAGGAUCCGUGAUGCAAUUCUUGGGGAAGGUAUAGGUAAGGCAUCCUACGCGUGGCUAGUCCACUUGCCGCACCAGGUUGUUUUCCGAGACGAGACGAGCUUCAAGGGUGAGGUGGAGCUUGAAGCGGAUUCUGGCAGCAGCAGCCUCCGCGUGGAGCAGAUUGGUAUCCACUUUGGGAGCCAGGUCUGUCGAUACUGCCGCUUUGAUCCCUCGACAGGUAGGGAGGCAACAGUCAGGACGCGAACAAACCGCUCCGCAAUGAUGCCUUCAACAUUGUUGCGCGAAUUCAACUUGUUCCAGGUAAUGCCCAACAGGAUAAAGUGAACAACAAGCUUUGGAAUCGCACGACGACAUCAAAGGCAUCAUUGCAGAGCUCUGCAGUCUGUUUGGUGACCAGAUUUGUUCACAAUCUAGUUCUUGUUAUCGCCUCCUCUGCAGCCAAGCUCCGGAUGUUCCUUUCGGGCUUUUCAGUUAGCUGGAUCCCCUGAACAGUUCCCCGGGGACUUUUAUUCAGCUUGAUUCCUCCAUCUUCGUCGAAUUGUGCUCGCACAUGACAUUUUCUUUUGGGUUAAAAGCCGUGCUCCUAUGGUUUGGAGGGCUAAGGAAUUUCUGCGCUAAUUGACUUAAACGGCUUCAUUUUCUUGAUAGAGUUCCUUGCGGCUUAGCUCACUUGUUGACAGACAUUGUUAAGACCACUAUAUCCUGCCUUUGCUUGAUGUUA